GGAUUUGGGGAGUAUCGACCCUCUCCGAGUCGAAGCUAACGCGUUAAGCGAUCCGCCUGGGUAGUACGGCCGCAAGGAUAAAACUCAAAGGAAUAGACGGGGACUUGCACAAGCGGUGGAGCGUGUGGCUUAAUUCGUCGCUAACCGAAGAACCUUACCAAGGCUAGAAAUGCUACUGCACGCCCAGCGAAAGCUGGGAAGCCUUCGAGGGUGUAGCACAGGUGAUGCACGGCUGUCGUCAGUUCGUGGUUUGAAUCGUUCCCUUCAGUGGGGUAACGAACGCAACCCUCGUUGCCUGUUAUAUAUGUCAGGCGAGACUGCCCCCUCACGGGGGAGGAAGGUGAGGAUGACGCCAAGUCAGCGUGUCCCUCUGAUGUCUUGAGCUGCACACGCGCUACAAUCGCCGUUACAAAGGGGCGCAAUGGGGUAACCCGGAGCAAAUCCCAAAAAGCGGCGCCGGUUCGGAUUGAGGUCUGCAACCCGACCUCAUGAAGCCGGAAUCGCUAGUAAUCGUGGGUCAGCCACACCACGGUGAAUACGUUCUCAAGUCUUGUACUCACAGCCCGUCAACUCAGGAAAGUUGGAAGUGCCCGAAGUCAAUCCUCGUGAUUGCCCAAGGCAAACUCAAUAACAAAGAGUAAGUCGUAACAAGGUAAC
Molecule: ribosomal RNA, 657 nt
Filed under: uncultured bacterium
Lineage: Bacteria
Description: bacterial SSU rRNA
Rfam family: Bacterial small subunit ribosomal RNA
Source: RNAcentral